AGUGAACAAAACACAAAAUUCACCCAUUUUGGGUGGGCAUCGAUCGAACAGAGAGAGAGGGGGCGACCAGGAGAAAUUUCCAAACCCUAAAAUCUCAUAAUCUUGCAAAUUGAAGGAUUAAUCCAAGUAGAAAUCGAGAAUUGAGCCUAGAAUCAUAAUCCUCAUCACAAGAGGAUUGUAAGGGAAGGAAGCCGGGGCAUCUAGCGGACAAACCGGUGUGGAUGCACGUUUGAAGGGUUUACUUUAAAGGUAAUUAGGUGGGUCUCAUGGAUGGCGAUCAAGUGAUUAAAUGAAGAACCGAACACUCCAUUUUGAAGCUUCCGCAAUGUCUUAAAUCUUUUGUAGUUUUGUGUAUGGGUGUUGAACACGGGUUGAACGAAUUAUAAAACGAUUUGCCUUGGUCAUUAGUUGACUAAGGUCUUGUUACU
Helianthus annuus (common sunflower) is the source of this 428-nucleotide long non-coding RNA. RefSeq lists it as uncharacterized. Lineage: Eukaryota; Viridiplantae; Streptophyta; Magnoliopsida; Asterales; Asteraceae. The record is from RefSeq and is a predicted model, not a curated record. The transcript is spliced from 3 exons.